GGCUUCACUUUGGAGCUCUUCUUCACUUCAAUCUUGAAAGGAGGUGAUGGUUUACCACGGCUGCUAGUUCAUGAAUACCUCUGGGGGUGCGUAUGAUACCAAUGAGUGCGCAUUCUAAGGGUUUGCAUGAGUUAGGAGACGAGGUUGCCUCGAUCUUUUUGGUAUUGGAGUGAAGGGAGCUCCAAAUUGGUAUUAG
Molecule: microRNA precursor, 196 nt
Filed under: Rosa chinensis
Lineage: Eukaryota; Viridiplantae; Streptophyta; Magnoliopsida; Rosales; Rosaceae
Description: sRNA RchiOBHm_Chr1g0358481
Rfam family: MIR159 microRNA precursor family
Source: Rfam by way of RNAcentral